Molecule: ribosomal RNA, 253 nt
Filed under: uncultured bacterium
Lineage: Bacteria
Description: partial 16S ribosomal RNA
Rfam family: Bacterial small subunit ribosomal RNA
Source: RNAcentral
UACGUAGGGCGCAAGCGUUGUCCGGAAUUAUUGGGCGUAAAGAGCUCGUAGGCGGUUUGUCGCGUCGGCCGUGAAAACUUGGGGCUUAACCCCGAGCCUGCGGUCGAUACGGGCAGACUUGAGUUCGGCAGGGGAGACUGGAAUUCCUGGUGUAGCGGUGAAAUGCGCAGAUAUCAGGAGGAACACCGGUGGCGAAGGCGGGUCUCUGGGCCGAUACUGACGCUGAGGAGCGAAAGCGUGGGGAGCGAACAGG